UACGGGAGGCAGCAGUGGGGAAUAUUGCACAAUGGGCGAAAGCGCUGAUGCAGCGACGCCGCGUGAGGGAUGACGGCCUUCGGGUUGUAAACCUCUUUCAGCAGGGACGAAGCGCAAGUGACGGUACCUGCAGAAGAAGCACCGGCUAACUACGUGCCAGCAGCCGCGGUAAUACGUAGGGUGCAAGCGUUGUCCGGAAUUACUGGGCGUAAAGAGUUCGUAGGCGGUUUGUCGCGUCGUUUGUGAAAACCAGCAGCUCAACUGCUGGCUUGCAGGCGAUACGGGCAGACUUGAGUACUGCAGGGGAGACUGGAAUUCCUGGUGUAGCGGUGAAAUGCGCAGAUAUCAGGAGGAACACCGGUGGCGAAGGCGGGUCUCUGGGCAGUAACUGACGCUGAGGAACGAAAGCGUGGGUAGCGAACAGGAUUAGAUACCCUGGUAGUCCACGCCGUAAACGGUGGGCGCUAGGUGUGGGUUCCUUCCACGGAAUCCGUGCCGUAGCUAACGCAUUAAGCGCCCCGCCUGGGGAGUACGGCCGCAAGGCUAAAA
RNAcentral lists this ribosomal RNA (549 nucleotides) under uncultured Actinomycetes bacterium. Its description in RNAcentral is "bacterial SSU rRNA". It matches the Rfam family "Bacterial small subunit ribosomal RNA", at positions 340 to 899 of the family's 1533-position model. The record is from RNAcentral. Lineage: Bacteria; Bacillati; Actinomycetota; Actinomycetes.